Molecule: long non-coding RNA, 10669 nt
Filed under: Nicotiana benthamiana
Lineage: Eukaryota; Viridiplantae; Streptophyta; Magnoliopsida; Solanales; Solanaceae
Description: long non-coding RNA (NBEN_LNC011100)
Source: RNAcentral
GAACGUCAAGCAGCUACCUCAACAACUCUUAAGAAUAUCUGGAGACUACGAGUGCUCAGCUAAGCCUCCGGUGUACCUGAAUCUGCACACAAGNNNNNNNNNNNNNNNNNNNNNNNNNNNNNNNNNNNNNNNNNNNNNNNNNNNNNNNNNNNNNNNNNNNNNNNNNNNNNNNNNNNNNNNNNNNNNNNNNNNNNNNNNNNNNNNNNNNNNNNNNNNNNNNNNNNNNNNNNNNNNNNNNNNNNNNNNNNNNNNAAAGCAUAUAUAAUGUCUGAAAGUAAGAAAUCCACAAAAUGCCACAAAGCAAAGCUAAAACUAACAGUCCUAUACCUUAGCCACGAACUAACAGCAAAGCAAUAUCAAAUAUAAUAGUCAAGAAUUCGAUAAAGAUGAAAUGCAAUGCACAUGAAACCGCUGCGGCGUGCAGCCCGAUCUGUUUAACGUCGACGAUGCUCACUGGGGGUGUGUACUGACUCUAGAGGGGGUCCUUCAUCCCAAGUGAAAUAUCAUUAUAUCACCACUGUGGCGUGCAACCCGACCCAUGCUCAGUCCACAGUGUGCAUAUGAGUCACAUAACAUAUUCAAUCUAAUUUCCAUUUUUCCAAUUAUUAAUGUGAAUAUAAUUUAGUUAAUUUAUUUCAGGAAAAAAGUGACUUAAAAUUUAAUAACAGUAUUAAACACAUGACUGAGAUUAAUGAUUUUGCAAAUCAUACUAUCACAAUGAUAUUCAUCCUAGACGGAUACUGCAGAUCGGCACAAGGCCCCAAACAUGGCAUUAAGCCCAAUUAUCAAUAACACAAUGUGCGUACCAGCCGCCAAUAAUUUUAUUCAGCUCUCGAGAUGGAACAAGUCACAAUCUCCAAUCACAUACCAUCCUGCACCUGCCAUGGGGUGCGAGUCACGAUCUAACAUAGUAUUACGAUGUGAUAAAUUGUGGUUUCAAACCCUCAGGCCAUCAUCUAUACAAACUACUCACCUCUAACCGGCCGUAGACUAGCCCGUGAUACCCUUUCCUUGUGGUCUAUCCAAAACCACAAUGAAUACAUCACAUUAUGCUAUGGAAUCAAUACCCAAUCGAAAAUAAUCAAAAAGCAGCAAUAAUCCUGAAAUUGACAAAACCCAAGCCCCGGGCCCAAUUCUCGAAACUCAAAAGUUUUUAUAUAAAAGUGUUCUUCAUCUUCUCCCGAUUCCGCACAUAUGAAGAACACCAAAAUCGGAGUCCAUUUGACCCCUCAAAUCGAUCCCUAAAGGUUUCAUAAUCUCAGCCCCCAAAAUCCUAUUUUUCUACUGUUUUUCAUGAAUUAAAGGCUGGGAUUAUGGUUUAUAAUCACCUAUAUACGCGUUUUAAUAAUCAAAUAACAUUAUCAAUACCCACUGAUGUUCUCUCUUAAAAAUCGCCUCAGAAGAUUUUUUCCCAUUCAAAAAAUUGAAAUAAAACUCGAGCUUCUCAUUAUAGGUAUAUUAUUCACGCGUUUGACUGCUCCCAAUGUAUUCCUUGUAAAAUUCUAAUGAAUUUAGACUUUUGAAUCACUCAAUUUGACCUUAUAAUGAAGAAGAUAUGUAGGUUUUAAGAUUUGCAAACAGUGCAGGUUUUUAAUACGUCAUCAGGUGCAAUUUCGUCAUUAAUUUGAAAAUCUAGGCAACCUUAGUAAAACGGCCAUAAAAUUCUCAUACGAUGUCUAAAUUCGAUGAUUCUUUUGUGCUACGAGUCCAUAAUAACGAUACAGAUAUAGUGCUUCAUUCAAAGUAGUAAUCAUAGCUUAUUUGUUCAAUAUGAUAUCAUUUAUGCUUGAAAAAACGACGUCGAAGCAUAAGAAAAACGAGCACAACGCAGCCCAAACCUUUUCGAAUCUCAUCCGAACUCCUCGGGACCACAUACCAACAUACUAAUACAUCACAUAUGAUCAUUCAAACUUAGUUGACAGCCCAAACCUAUCCAAAACUCACACGAACUCCUCGGGACCGCAUACGAACAUACUAAAAGAUCACAUAUGAUCAUUCAAACUUAGUUUCAGUCUCAAAACACCAAAACUAACAUAAAACACCAAAUUUACAUCGCUACUUAGUUUUCCUGAGUCUGAACUCAGAUCGUAUCAUGCAAUUAACUUCACUCCCACUAAGAGCCUUGAAAAAUAUUCUUCAUGCGCCUAUAUUCGGGCUGCACAUCGAACCACAAUAGGAAAUGAAUCACUUAACAGUUCGUCUAUUAUCCAGCAGACUUCUUCGUCGCUACCAGGUCAUAUAAUUGCAUCUCGCAGUACUAACAUACUCAAUCACACGAAUACCAAACUGCCAUUCCGACUAAUAGCGACAAUACCAAACAUAUGAGUACAUACCACUAUCUCGCAGAAUUAGUACUCUGGUGCUCCAGCCAUAUGCGAAGACUCGACCUCAAGUCCUCGCCCCUCGAUCGGGGAAUCACAAGCCAUCAAAGUAAAUCUGCUAUUGAGCGCUCAUGUGUUCAUGCGAACACGUGGAAGGAAUUUUAAGAGUUACUCUUUCAAGCUGAAUCAAGGACGCACGAUAAGAUUUCAAGAAAGUGCAGUGUUUCCUAAAGGUUCUAUAGCCUCCUGCUUAUAAGUGUGGUGCAUGGCACACCCAUAAACAGGACUCUACUAAGCCGGCUCAUGACUCGUGAGACUAGUAAACCUAGGCUCUGAGGUUUUGUAGCCUCCCGAGGAUAGAUACGUACGUCUACGUACCGAUCCACGAGACUCUACUAACCGGCUCAUGACUCCUGAGGACUAGUAACCUAGGCUCUGAUACCAACUUGUCACGACUCAAACCCGAGCUCCGGGCCCAAUUCUCGAUAUUAACCUUCCGACAAGCUGAAACCAAAUUCGUUCGUAUCCAUUAAUGAUCCCAAAGGUCUCUUCUGACCAAACACACCAUCCUGGUGACAUGACACAUCAAUAUGUCCUAAGCCACAACUUACAUAACACCCUUACCAAUAAGAGACAGUCUGACAUACUCAAGUCAUGAAAAUGACUUAAAUGAAAAAGUUGUAAUUUAAGCUCAUCAAUACCAUUACAAGACAAGGCUGGGACCCCGUCCCACAUCAUAGAAAUAGAAUACCUAAAUCUUUCCCGAAGGGUCUAAUCUCCACGUAACCUCGCUAUAAUACGCGAUCUCACCCAUUGUCCAACGAGUGUGUGAUUCUGAAAGCUAAGUGCAAAAACCUGGAACUUAGGGUCAGCGAAUGUGAUAAUAAAAAUGCUGAGUUGAACAAUCAGGUUCAUGAACUUGACACCACAGUCCUAGAGCUCAAAUCUGAAAAUCUAAAAUUGAAAUUAGGAAGAGGUUGAGACAUGCCCUUGACUCUAAAGGUUUCAGGUUGAGCAAGACAAACACGGAGUAAUUGAGGGUACAAAUUUGGGGCUGAGCCGACGGAAGCGGGAGUGGAAGUGAGGCUUGACUCUCAAAUCAUCCCUAAGAAGAGUAGUUUCAAAUACCUUGGGUCAGUUAUUCAGGGGAUCGGGGAAAUCGACGAGGAUGUCACACACUGUAUAUGGGUGGGUUGGAUGACUUGGAGGUUAGGGACGAGAGUUUUGUGUGACAAGAAAGUUCCAGCAUUACGAAAAGGUAAGUUUUAUAGAGCAGUGGUUAGGCGUGCAAUGCUGUAUGGGACUGAGUGUUGGCCGGUGAAGAACUCACACACCAAGAAUAUGAAAGUAGCAGAGAUGAGGAUUUCGAGGUGGAUGUGUGGGAAUACAAGGAUGGAUAAGAUUAGGAAUGAAUAUAUCCGAUAGAAGUUGGGUGUGGCCCCCAUAGAGGACAAGAUGCGAGAAGCAAGACUCAGAUGGUUCGGGCACAUUCAGAGGAGGAGCACUGAUGCACCUGUGAGAAGGUGUGAACGAUUGGAUGUGGUGGGCAUGAUGAGAGGUAGAGGGAGACCUAAGAAGUAUUGAGGAGAGGUGAUAAGACAGUAUUUAGCGCAUCUUAGGAUUACUGAGGACAUGGACCUUGAUAGGGGAUUGUGGAGGUCCAGCAUUAAAGUUGUAGGUUAGGUUAUACAACGUAUAACAUAAAAUAAUAAAAUAGCAGCAAUAUAAGAAAUACAGAAUAGAAAUAGAUGAUAUAGAUGAAAUACAUGAAAGGUAUACUAAUAUCCAACAGAUAGCUCACUGUAUCGGUAGCUGACCAGUAACAUCCUAAGAUUACCUUACAUGUAGCUAUUGUCACUCUAGUGUGCUGUAGAAAUAUCCACAACUUCGUUCUCCUCUGCCAUCUAAUAUUGCUUGUACUGAAGCGCUCUCAGGGAUUCCUUCUGGCCACAUUGGGACUACAACAUAAACAGUAAACCUUUCCCCAGCUUCAAUCUUGCUGACAAUCUUCGAAGCAAGUUCCUUUGGAAUGACAUGCAAAGCACCUAUCUCCUCUUCCUUGAUAUCAUCACUUUGCCAGUCAUAACUGCUUCCAAGAAUGGGACUUGUUGUUUAGUUGUUCUCCCUUGCUGGGAUAUUUAAUCUUGUUGUAUAUUCCUUUCCCCGUUUGGUUGUGACCGUUGAUUGGGUGAGGAAGAGAGUGAUUAUGCACGAAGGAUCUUUCCGUGCCAUGUUACGAUAAUUACGAACUAAGGGUCUUUCUGUGCCAUGUUUUGAUAAUUAUGCAUGAAGGGUCUUUCCAUGCCAUGUUUCUUGAUUAUUUGAGCACGAAGGGUCAUUCUGUGCCUUGANNNNNNNNNNNNNNNNNNNNNNNNNNNNNNNNNNNNNNNNNNNNNNNNNNNNNNNNNNNNNNNNNNNNNNNNNNNNNNNNNNNNNNNNNNNNNNNNNNNNNNNNNNNNNNNUAUUUGACAGUUUUGGUGAGGAAAGCACGAAGGGUGAUGUCGUGCACUAUAUUUGACAGUUUUGGUGAGGAAAGCACGAAGGGUGAUGCCGUGGAAGGUUGAUGCCAUUCAGUUGUUGAUUCUCUGGCUUUCUUUUAUUGAUGUUAAAUAUUCAGUUUCCAUUCUUGUUCAAUGGUUUUAUAAUUGAAUUGUUACACCCCACAACAUGCCCCCUUCCUAUUAUUUUUUUAAAUUAUGUUUUCUUUCCGUUAUUGCACAUAUAUCUGUACAGGUUGAUUAUGGUAGGUCCGGUCUAGCCUCGUCAGUAUCUCGCCGGGGUUAGGCCAGACACUUACCAGCAUAUGGGGUCAGUUGUGCUGAGGCUACACUACUGUGCCUUUGUUGCACAGAUCAAGAUAUAGCUUACGGACCGCAGUAGUAGCCUGGGAGCGCGCCUUCGGUCCAGAGGCUCCUAGGUAGGUCGCUGGUGUUCGCGGGCCCUCAGUCUCAUCUAUUUCAUUCCGUUAGUUUUCAUUGUAUCGAAAUAGACUUAUUAUGCAAUUUUCUUUCAGAGUGAUGAUUGUAGAACUCUUUUAGUAGUCCGUGAGUAGUGACACCAGAUACUCGGUAGUGCCAUGUUAUAGUCUUUCGCACUUUGCUAUUAUUUUUGUUAAAAGUCUUCCGUGCAUUUUUGAUUAAUCAUCUCAGUUAUUAUAUUGUUUUAGAUUAAAGUUUUAUGGAAUAUUUUAAAAGGGUUGGCUUGCCUAGCUCCGAUAGUAGGCGCCAUCACGACUCCCGAUGGUGGAAAAAAUCCGGGUGGUGAUAAGUUGGUAUCAGAGCACUAGGUUACUUGGGUCUCACAACUCAUGGACAAGCUCGGUAGNNNNNNNNNNNNNNNNNNNNNNNNNNNNNNNNNNNNNNNNNNNNNNNNNNNNNNNNNNAACUCGUGGACAAGCUCGGUAGAGUCUGAGGGAUCAGUACGGAGAUGUCUGUAUUUAUCCCCCAGAGGCUGCAGGGUUAGGAAAAAUUUCACUUUGUUAAUUCUUGUAGUGUGAUUCUGUUUCUAAAAUAUUGAUUGUCGUUCUACUCUGUUCUUUCGCAGAUGGAGAGAACACAUGCGUCUUCUUCUUCUUCUGCGCAGCAGCCCGAGCCCCCAGCAGCAGCUCCCGUAAGGGGCAGGGGACGAGGUCGUGCCAGAGGUCAUUGUAGGGGCAGAGCUCAGCCCCAGGCAACAAUUCUAGGUGUGGAGCCUCAUAUUGACUUUGAUGAGGAGGUUCCAGCCCCACCAGCUCCAUUGAGCCCAGCUCUGGUCCCAGGAGGGGUUAUUUUUUUCCCAGAUCUCCAGGAUGCUAUCGUCCGCAUCGCAGGCUUUAUGGAUAGUGUCGCUAGAGCGGGUUUGCUGCCAGGAGCACCAGCCACUUCUCAGGAUGGAGGAGGGGUUCAGACUCCUGCUACACGUACUCUAGAGCAGGUAGCUCCCCGGACUCAGGUUCCAGUGGUUCAGCCUGCAGUGGAAGCUUAGACAGGUAUUACAGCUCAGGUCAUAUAUGGGACGACCAUGUAUUUGGAUGAUUUGUUGAGACUUGAUCGGUUCUACAAGCUUUUCACCACCACUUUCAGCGGUGCUUCAUCAGAGGAUCCCAGGAGUUUCUAUUCAGUUGUCAUGUGAUCCUUAGGACUGUGGGUAUAGUGGAGAUCAAUGGGGUCGAUUUUUUCACCUUCAGGCUUGCAGGAUCCACCAAGACAUGGUGGAGAGAUUAUUGUCUAUCUAGACCUUCAGGGUCUCCAGCUUUGACAUGGGAUCAGUUUGCGGAGUUAUUUUUGGAGAAGUUUCUCCCCGUCACUCAGCGGUAGGCACUUCGUAGACAGUUUGAGCGCCUCCAUCCGGGCUCUAUGACAGUUAUACAUCAUGAGACUAGAUUUAUUGAUUUGUCACGCCAGUUGUGAUACUCCCUACAGAGCGAGAGAGGGUCCGGAGGUUCAUUGAUGGAUUGAUUCAGCCGAUUCGCCUUCAAAUGGCCAUAGGAAAUGGCAGUGAUAUAUCCUUUCAGGAGGCGGCCAACGCAGCCCACCGGGUAGAGAUGGCACUAGUUCGAGGAGGUAGUCAGGGGCCAGACAAGAGGCCUCGCCAUUCUGGAAGGUUCAGUGGUACCUCAUCUGGAGGUAGGGAUGCAUAUGACAGAGGCCACACUCAGAGGCCCUUCCAGCCGGCACUUCAGGUUUCUCAUGGCACUCCAGGCGAUGGUGGUCCUCAGCAGUAUUAUUCAGAUGAGCAGACCUUCAGCGCACCACCAGCCCCCAUCAGUGCACCGCCACUCCAGAGCUUCAGGGGAGGACUUACAGGCCGACAGGGCUAGUAGUAUCAGCAAAAACAUUUUAAACACACUUGAAAAUACAUAACAUGUAUGAUAAACCAGUUUCUGGACAUAAGAGGUAAAAACAGAUGUAAAACUAUUCGGAAAUGUUAAAGAACAUGUAAGUAUAUUAAUUUUUAAAGUUGCAGAAGAUACAAUAGUCAGACAAGUUUAGAAAAAUAGUAAUCCAAUUCUGGACUAGGAAGAAGAGCGACUUAGUAAAACAUUUGCAUGGAAGUGAUUGAAAAUAAGGCAGAAGUUUAGUGUAAAAAAUUAGCAGACUUUAUAGAGGCAAACAAAAUCAGACGGUUUGAAGGGGUGAAUAGCUUAAGCAGGAUUUAAGGCGAUUAAUCAAUUUCGUUUAUCCUAGAGUUUUCCUAGGCAUUGUUUAACCAUAAGAGAAAGGCGGACAUACACGUGAGUUAUUAAAGGAAAGUGUUAACCAGUUUUACAUUCAUUUAACACAAUUAGUGAGGCAUUCAACAGUUGCAAAAGAAAGUCCCUAAGUACAUGAUUUCUAAUGCAUAUAAAGGCCCUAAAACGUGGCAUCUAAAUGCAAAGCAGUAAUUUGGUUAUUAAUUGAUUGUAAUAAUAAAGAUAACAAGCUGAAAUAAAAGCUCUAAGAACAGGAUUUCUAUAUGUGAGAUGCAUGUCCUACACAUGGUUUCUAUUAUGCAAAUAGGUAAUAAAGCCCUAGAAACAUAUUUUCUUCCCAUUCUCUCAAUAAUCAUGCAUAACCCUCCCCAAUUUUACUAUAAUCCCCAUUGUUCUUUACAAAUUAUUACAGCCAAGUAAUUAAAAAGUACAACAUUGACAAACAAAUAAGAAGUUAUUCUAUUGAGAGCCUUCAGCCAGGCCCAAGCAUCUCCAACCUUACUCUUUUCGAGUUUCACAGCCAUUACCAAGGCUUGGGUGCGGCAAUUUCCCUAAGGGUUCGUUUGAAUCCCUGGCCAAUGCCAAGCACCCAAAAAUGUCCCAGUUAGACAAAUACAAGCAUUGGAAGUGCUAGCCUUGUGCAUCAGAGUUCCAUGGGUGCUCUAGGCUCCCAUGGCAGUGCUUGCACUAAGGGGGCAGACCCUAAAGCUCUAAGAAUGAGAUUGUAAUUGAAAGAGUUGAAAACAGUUGAGAGACAGUUUAAGGAAACAGUUGAAAGAAUUUAGAGAGUUAAGAAAAUAGUCGAAAGAGUUUGACAAGUUGAGACAAUUUAAAAAAUAGUUUAAAGAAUUGAGAGAGUUUAAGUAAUUAUUUUAGACAGACCAAUUUUAGAACAGCAGGGCAUCACACAAACAGGAGGGCAAAAGGGGAAAGGGACAAAUAAGCAAAGCAAACUACUUACACAUGCAACAUAUGAAAGUAAACAGACAUGGUUGCAAACAAGAGUUCAACUCUAACACACUUAGCCUCAAAUAGGGGCUUUAGGUUAACAAAGUAGCCAAGCAGACAUCGAUGCAUGGUAGUAGCACAGAAGGAAAACAUUCAUUGAAACAGGGAGGGGAUAAGGGAGCAAAUAAGUAAAGUGAAAAUAAGUAAAGGGAACAGACAACAUGUUAGGUAAAAGUAAUUAAACAUGGUUAAAAACAAGGGUUUAGUUCUUACUAUACCAAACCCCAAAUAUAUUCAACCUCAGGGAGAGGUUUCUGGGCUGUUAAGUAGCCAAGCAGUAGUGCACAUGGAAGAUAAAAACAUACAUUGAGACAAGGGGAAGGGGGAUAACGGAGAACAUGCUAAGCUAAGCUCGUAGACUAACAACUGCACGCUAAUGGCAAUAAGAGAAACUGAACCAUAUGUAAAAACACACAUGAAAUAAUAUGAAUUGCAAAAAUAAAAGGAGCAUGUCGUGUUGGAGGUUAUAUCUUAAAUAGGUGACAUACCAGUCGCAGGUAAUAAGAUACAAUAACAAUGCAAUAGUGCACAAAGGGAGAGCAAGGUGUGCAAAGAAUGAGAGCAACAGUGUGAGUAACAACAAUAUGAGAACAACAGCAACAACAGACCCAAUGUACACAAACAAAUAGAACCCAGUAGUGUAAAGUAAUCAACCCAGGCUACCAAAUCUUGGCUCUGAGCCAAUUGAGUGUUCACACAAGAGAAUGAGAUAGUAUAGUAAUAGCAUAGGAAGAGAGAAUUCACAAAGUCUGAGGUUGUGAGAGCAGUGUGUGUUGGUGUGUACAAAGAGAAAGGUAGGGAGUAUUUAUAGUAUUAAAAACGAGUGAACAUAAGGUAUCAAUCCGUAUUUAAGGAACUGAUAUCAAUCAUAGUCAAAUAAAUAUAGGGACUCCCCUUUAAUUAAGGAAUCAUAGUCAAACGGUAAUAAGCAGUCAUUUUUUUUAAAAAUCACAAAGUAUGGCAUGGUCACAUAAGGAAACAAAAUAGUAUAAGGUAUACAAUGCAGACUNNNNNNNNNNNNNNNNNNNNNNNNNNNNNNNNNNNNNNNNNNNNNNNNNNNNNNNNNNNNNNNNNNNNNNNNNNNNNNNNNNNNNNNNNNNNNNNNNNNNNNNNNNNNNNNNNNNNNNNNNNNNNNNNNNNNNNNNNNNNNNNNNNNNNNNNNNNNNNNNNNNNNNNNNNNNNNNNNNNNNNNACUAGGAAAUCAAUUAUUAAUUGAGGAAUGUAUCCCACUGAUUGAGGAAGAAAAAUCGAAAUCAAUACCAAAAUGUAAAGAGAAUACAAAAUCAUAAUUUUAAAGCAAGUAAUUACAACCUUAAAGAGAUGGUAAGAGUCAGUAUAAAAUCACCAUAUAAACGACCAUAAACCUUAAGAGAAGAGCACAACACGGUAGGGAAUGAAACACUAGCAACAAGAAUCAAAGUAAAGAGCACAGGACUCAUAGAAGAAACCAGAAGAAACAUGCAAACAGGCAAAUACAGAUAUAAACAUGUAGGAAUAGGGUUUUCAUCAGAUUUUAACAAAAUACUUAGAAGUAGUACUAAGAGUUACAGAUUAGUACUGAAAAUCAGAAAAGUAAAGUGUUUCGAAAAGGGGAUAAGAAACCCUAGCAAUAGAAAUAACAGUAUGAAACCCAAGUUAACUAGAAAACAAACAAACAAGUGAAAUAAACAAACACAAACGAAUAUAUAGCACUCAUAAAGAGUCGAAGAAACGAUUUCGAAAAAGGGGUCAGAAACCCUAACUUGAAAGAGUGGUAAUCAUCCGAAAAUUUGAACUAACCGGAAAAGCUAAGUUAAAAUAGAGUAGAAAACAAAAAUCAAACCAAGAGUUGUAUUAAAAGAGUAGAGAUUAAAGAGGAAAAAUUAGGGUUUUCAAACAAAUUAGGGAAAACGAAGAACCUGGAUGUGAAAGUCGUAUACAAUGCCAUAGAAGGCAUCAUCGUACAAAGACCACUGGAGAAAAGCCGGAAACAGACCCAAAUAAAGCUUACGUGACCUCUUUCAUGGCAGAAGCUGCUGGCUUCAAACUUUAGAGAGAAAACAGCGAUACAAGGGCUCCAUGGUUGCUGGAGGUCGAGAGAAGUGAGGGAGGAGUGAGCUGGAGAGGCGAUGGUCAUCAUCGGAGAAGACGGAGAGAACCAGAAGGUUCUAGAGAGAUGGAGGGUUUGAGA